GUGCUUGCUUCAGCAGCACAUACAUUAAAAUUGGAACAAUACGGAGAAGAUUAGCCUGGCCCCUGUGCAAAGAUGAGCUGCAAAUUUUUGACGUGUUCUGUAUUUUU
Molecule: small nuclear RNA, 107 nt
Organism: Gorilla gorilla gorilla (western lowland gorilla)
Lineage: Eukaryota; Metazoa; Chordata; Mammalia; Primates; Hominidae
Source: Ensembl